AAAAACGGUAUUGUGCUGGGAAAUGUGUAGAAUUAUUGUCAGCAUUAGCUGUGAGCGCGGUGUGCCAGGAUUCCAAUUAAUGUAGCUCUGUGGCGGUAGUUUGCCUUGUCAAUUAUCUUGCUAUUGUUGAAAUCAAUUUUAUGGUCAUAAGACCAAGCAUGAUUCGCAAUAAUAAAUCCGUUGAGCCCGCUUUAUGUUUCUCGACAUUCUUCACGUACAUGUUCUUUUUUCCCUUGUGAUGAACGCUCGACCCGGCGUCUCACCGAUGUAGCUCCACGAACAAUCAGCGCAAUUUAUGCGAUAGACUACAUUUGUUUGUUCUUGGGAUGGUGGUCUGUCCUUCGGUGAAGGAAACAUUUGUUCAAGCGUG
Paramuricea clavata is the source of this 370-nucleotide non-coding RNA. NCBI's taxonomy places the organism in Eukaryota, Metazoa, Cnidaria, Anthozoa, Malacalcyonacea, Plexauridae. The record is from the annotation of a GenBank genome assembly.